GACGAACGCUGGCGGCGUGCUUAACACAUGCAAGUCGAACGGAAAGGCCCGGCGUUUGCGGGGUGCUCGAGUGGCGAACGGGUGAGUAACACGUGAGGAACCUGCCCUUGACUUUGGGAUAACUUCAGGAAACUGGGGCUAAUACCGGAUAGGAUCUCCUGCUGCAUGGGGGGGGAUGGAAAGUUUCGGCGGUUGGGGAUGGACUAGCGGGUUACGAGCUGGUUGGGGGGGUAGGGGCUUACCAAGGCUUUGACGGGUAGCCGGCCUGGGAGGGUGACCGGCCACAUUGGGACUGCGGGACGGCGCAGACUCCUACGGGAGGCAGCAGUGGGGAAUCUUGCACAACGGGCGGACGCCUGAUGCAGCAACGCCGCGUGCGGGAUGACGGCCUUCGGGUUGUAAACCGCUUUCGACUGUGACGAAGCGUGCGUGACGGUACUGGGUAAGGAAGCACCGGCUAACUACGUG
RNAcentral lists this ribosomal RNA (468 nucleotides) under uncultured bacterium. RNAcentral describes it as "partial 16S ribosomal RNA". It matches the Rfam family "Bacterial small subunit ribosomal RNA", at positions 28 to 507 of the family's 1533-position model. The record is from RNAcentral.